Molecule: long non-coding RNA, 945 nt
Organism: Oxyura jamaicensis (ruddy duck)
Lineage: Eukaryota; Metazoa; Chordata; Aves; Anseriformes; Anatidae
Exons: 2
Source: RefSeq, a predicted model, not a curated record
CCCCCCCGGCGGCCUGGCUCCGAGGUGGCCCCAGGAGCGGGAGACGCGGGCUCGGAGCCCCCCGGGCUGCCGGGAGAAGUGUCCCGUGAGGGAGCCGGUGCGCGGCAGGCGGGGGGCUGGCGGGAGCCUCUGAGGGAACCUCGGGCACCUCCCGGCCGCUGCCCCGGUGGCAGAGGGGCUCCCGCCGGGCCGGGGGCUGAGCCGCGGUCGCUGCGUGUGUCCCCAGCGGCAGCGGUGAAAUGACCCAGGUGCUGUUUGUGAAGAUUUUUACAUUUGCACAGAGAAAAGAUUUGGAGAGAUGGGCUAAUGGCUGUACCCGGUGCUCAUCAUCUGCUACAUGAAGUGCUAGAGAGCAGACUACUCAGAAAAAAAUGGACCUUGUUCAACUCGGAUUAUUUAUUACAACUUUAGACUUCCUAAAAUGAACACUAUCCCAAGAAGUGAUUUCAUUAAGCACACUGUCAAUUAUCAGAAUUCUCUGUAUCAAGUAUUCAUUUUACAGAAGAAUAGCUAUCUAUUUUUGUACACCAUGAAUCUGUUCAUCAACCAAAAUGGAGUGCUUCAGCAUUUCGAUCACACUCCUGAUUUUUAAAGUCAUCUUUUUCUGUAUUGUCUUAUUGUCCUGCAGCCAUAUUUAGGCUAUGCAUGUCAGUGUGAGACACAAUGCAGUCGGUACAAGCCAUCUGAUAAACGGCUGCUUACGCAGCAGUUUCUUCCAGCACACUUCUGGUGGCAUGUUGUAUUGAUUGGAAGGCUCUGAUACGGUAUAUCAAGAAUCCAUUUAUAUGUUGCAUGCCCUCCACAAUCAAAUCGUGUGUGUGUUAGAGGAUGCAGCGUGUGACUCUUAUUUUGAAAUGCUCAGUGUGCAUGCAGUGGCCGACCCAAGAUUUUACAAUAAAUAAAAUCAUAUUCUAGCCCAAAGUGUGGCACCAAAAAAAAAAAAAA